GAUGAAGAACGUAGCGAAAUGCGAUAAGUAAUGUGAAUUGCAGAAUUCAGUGAAUCAUCGAAUCUUUGAACGCACAUUGCGCCCCUUGGUAUCCCGAGGGGCAUGCCUGUUCGAGCGUCAUUUCACCACUCAAGCCUGGCUUGGUGUUGGGCGACGUCCCCUUUGGGGACGCGCCUCGAAACGCUCGGCGGCGUGGCACCGGCUUUAAGCGUAGCAGAAUCUUUCGCUUUGGAAGUCGGGGCCCCGUCUGCCGGAAGACCUACUCGCAAGGUUGACCUCGGAUCAGGCAGGGAUACCCGCUGAACUUAAGAAUAUCAAUAAGCGGAGGA
This 329-nucleotide unclassified non-coding RNA is filed under the name soil metagenome. Its description in RNAcentral is "partial contains 5.8S ribosomal RNA, internal transcribed spacer 2, and large subunit ribosomal RNA". The stretch from base 1 to 120 matches the Rfam family "5.8S ribosomal RNA", at positions 35 to 154 of the family's 154-position model. The record is from RNAcentral.